This 1661-nucleotide ribosomal RNA is filed under the name Salmonella enterica subsp. enterica serovar Infantis. RNAcentral's name for it is "partial 23S ribosomal RNA". It matches the Rfam family "Bacterial large subunit ribosomal RNA", at positions 161 to 1773 of the family's 2925-position model. The record is from RNAcentral. Lineage: Bacteria; Pseudomonadati; Pseudomonadota; Gammaproteobacteria; Enterobacterales; Enterobacteriaceae.
AAUCCAUAGGUUAAUGAGGCGAACCGGGGGAACUGAAACAUCUAAGUACCCCGAGGAAAAGAAAUCAACCGAGAUUCCCCCAGUAGCGGCGAGCGAACGGGGAGGAGCCCAGAGCCUGAAUCAGCAUGUGUGUUAGUGGAAGCGUCUGGAAAGGCGCGCGAUACAGGGUGACAGCCCCGUACACAAAAGCGCAUGUGCUGUGAGCUCGAUGAGUAGGGCGGGACACGUGGUAUCCUGUCUGAAUAUGGGGGGACCAUCCUCCAAGGCUAAAUACUCCUGACUGACCGAUAGUGAACCAGUACCGUGAGGGAAAGGCGAAAAGAACCCCGGCGAGGGGAGUGAAAAAGAACCUGAAACCGUGUACGUACAAGCAGUGGGAGCACAGGUUUACCUGUGUGACUGCGUACCUUUUGUAUAAUGGGUCAGCGACUUAUAUUCUGUAGCAAGGUUAACCGAAUAGGGGAGCCGGAGGGAAACCGAGUCUUAAUUGGGCGUUAAGUUGCAGGGUAUAGACCCGAAACCCGGUGAUCUAGCCAUGGGCAGGUUGAAGGUUGGGUAACACUAACUGGAGGACCGAACCGACUAAUGUUGAAAAAUUAGCGGAUGACCUGUGGCUGGGGGUGAAAGGCCAAUCAAACCGGGAGAUAGCUGGUUCUCCCCGAAAGCUAUUUAGGUAGCGCCUCGUGAAUUCAUCUCCGGGGGUAGAGCACUGUUUCGGCUAGGGGGCCAUCCCGGCUUACCAACCCGAUGCAAACUGCGAAUACCGGAGAAUGUUAUCACGGGAGACACACGGCGGGUGCUAACGUCCGUCGUGAAGAGGGAAACAACCCAGACCGCCAGCUAAGGUCCCAAAGUCAUGGUUAAGUGGGAAACGAUGUGGGAAGGCCCAGACAGCCAGGAUGUUGGCUUAGAAGCAGCCAUCAUUUAAAGAAAGCGUAAUAGCUCACUGGUCGAGUCGGCCUGCGCGGAAGAUGUAACGGGGCUAAACCAUGCACCGAAGCUGCGGCAGCGAACGUAUCACUUAAAGCGAUUCAGCGGGUUACGAUUGACGGAGCGAAGCGACGUCAAAGCGUAUACAAAGUCGAGUCGGUUUAAGGAUACGUUCGUUGGGUAGGGGAGCGUUCUGUAAGCCUGCGAAGGUGGCCUGUGAGGGUUGCUGGAGGUAUCAGAAGUGCGAAUGCUGACAUAAGUAACGAUAAAGCGGGUGAAAAGCCCGCUCGCCGGAAGACCAAGGGUUCCUGUCCAACGUUAAUCGGGGCAGGGUGAGUCGACCCCUAAGGCGAGGCCGAAAGGCGUAGUCGAUGGGAAACGGGUUAAUAUUCCCGUACUUGGUGUUACUGCGAAGGGGGGACGGAGAAGGCUAUGUUGGCCGGGCGACGGUUGUCCCGGUUUAAGCGUGUAGGUGUGUGUUCCAGGUAAAUCCGGUUCACUUUAACACUGAGGCGUGAUGACGAGGCACUACGGUGCUGAAGCAACAAAUGCCCUGCUUCCAGGAAAAGCCUCUAAGCAUCAGGUAACAUCAAAUCGUACCCCAAACCGACACAGGUGGUCAGGUAGAGAAUACCAAGGCGCUUGAGAGAACUCGGGUGAAGGAACUAGGCAAAAUGGUGCCGUAACUUCGGGAGAAGGCACGCUGACACGUAGGUGAAGUGAUUUACUCA